This 837-nucleotide long non-coding RNA is filed under the name Gallus gallus (chicken). The record is from RNAcentral. Lineage: Eukaryota; Metazoa; Chordata; Aves; Galliformes; Phasianidae.
GGGGUCAAAUCUGGCUCCUGGUGGAACUGCUCCCGGGGGAAGGCCGCUGGGGAGACCUGUUGAUGGGUCAAUGCCAGGCUGCGGGAACCCAGACCGGAGAGGAUCAACGAUCAUUCCACCACUGCGACCUCCCAAAGGGUCCAGGUCCUGCCCACCAACAGCGAAGGGGUUCAAAGGAGAAGGCCAGGAUGGUGCUCUCGCGCCUGCAGGGUGCCGGGGAGGGAUCCCGCGGGGGUUGUAAUCCAGGGGUGAGUCAGGAUCCUUCUUCUCUGCCUGGGACUCCUUCUUGGCCUUUUCUGUGGGGACCCCGAGGGGAGCGAUGAUACCUGAAACGAUCCUUGUCCUCAACUCCUCCAUGUUCUUGUAGACCUUGUGGAAAUCAUUCAGGUGCUCUGGGUUGAUGUAGUCAGCCACUGCCAAGGUCACGUCUGUCACCUUCUGAGAAGCACGAUCCAUGACAUUGAGGAUCAUGCUGUCUUCCACCACAAUGGCCUUCAGCAGCAGUUCCCGGGCAUCAUCUGUGGACUUGUAGCGCAGCGUAUACACCUCCUUGUUGGCUUCCCAGCCAGCGGGCAGCAGCUCUGACUUCCUUUCCUCAGGACCUGGCUGCUCUCCGGCGCCGAGGCAGCGGUAGCCGUGCUGGAUCAGCUCCCAGUGGAUCCCGCAAACCAAUGCAUCCUGCGGGCAGGAGAUGCCGGCUCGAGCCGAGCAGUACAGCACCUCCAGCCCCGCCAUGGCCGCUCCGCACCGCACAGAGCAGGCGCGGCUAGGCCUGGCCGGGCCCUCCCCUUCGCCGAGCCAGGCCGGGCCGGAGCCGCGUCCUCGGGCUGAGCCGGG